RNAcentral lists this ribosomal RNA (591 nucleotides) under uncultured Gammaproteobacteria bacterium. RNAcentral describes it as "bacterial SSU rRNA". It matches the Rfam family "Bacterial small subunit ribosomal RNA", at positions 1 to 587 of the family's 1533-position model. The record is from RNAcentral. Lineage: Bacteria; Pseudomonadati; Pseudomonadota; Gammaproteobacteria.
UAGAGUUUGAUCCUGGCUCAGAUUGAACGCUGGCGGCAGGCUUAACACAUGCAAGUCGAACGGUAACAUAAAGAAGCUUGCUUCUUUGAUGACGAGUGGCGGACGGGUGAGUAAUGCUUGGGAAUCUAGCUUAUGGAGGGGGAUAACUACGGGAAACUGUAGCUAAUACCGCGUAAUAUCGAAAGAUUAAAGUGUGGGACCUUCGGGCCACAUGCCAUAGGACGAGCCCAAGUGGGAUUAGGUAGUUGGUGAGGUAAAGGCUCACCAAGCCGACGAUCUCUAGCUGGUCUGAGAGGAUGACCAGCCACACUGGGACUGAGACACGGCCCAGACUCCUACGGGAGGCAGCAGUGGGGAAUACUGCGCAAUGGGGGCAACCCUGACGCAGCCAUGCCGCGUGAAUGAAGAAGGCCUUCGGGUUGUAAAGUUCUUUCGGUAGCGAGGAAGGCAUUUAGUUUAAUAGACUAGGUGAUUGACGUUAACUACAGAAGAAGCACCGGCUAACUCCGUGCCAGCAGCCGCGGUAAUACGGAGGGUGCGAGCGUUAAUCGGAAUAACUGGGCGUAAAGGGCACGCAGGCGGUGACUUAAG